GACGAACGCUGGCGGCGUGCUUAACACAUGCAAGUCGAACGGUAAGGCCCUUCGGGGUACACGAGUGGCGAACGGGUGAGUAACACGUGGGUGAUCUGCCCUGCACUUCGGGAUAAGCCUGGAAACUGGGUCUAAUACCGGAUAGGACCACUGCCUGCAUGGGUGGUGGUGGAAAGCUUUUGCGGUGUGGGAUGGGCCCGCGGCCUAUCAGCUUGUUGGUGGGGUGAUGGUCUACCAAGGCGACGACGGGUAGCCGGCCUGAGAGGGUGACCGGCCACACUGGGACUGAGAUACAGCCCAGAUUCCUACGGGAGGCAGCAGUGGGGAAUAUUGCACAAUGGGCGCAAGCCUGAUGCAGCGACGCCGCGUGAGGGAUGACGGCCUUCGGGUUGUAAACCUCUUUCAGCACCGACGAAGCGCAAGUGACGGUAGGUGCAGAAGAAGGACCGGCCAACUACGUGCCAGCCGCCGCCGUAA
This 477-nucleotide ribosomal RNA is filed under the name uncultured bacterium. Its description in RNAcentral is "partial 16S ribosomal RNA". It matches the Rfam family "Bacterial small subunit ribosomal RNA", at positions 28 to 523 of the family's 1533-position model. The record is from RNAcentral.